UACGGAGGGUGCAAGCGUUAAUCGGAAUUACUGGGCGUAAAGCGCGCGUAGGCGGCUGGAUAAGUCGAUUGUGAAAGCCCCGGGCUCAACCUGGGAAUUGCAGUCGAGACUGUUCGGCUAGAGUGUGGGAGAGGGUGGUGGAAUUCCCGGUGUAGCGGUGAAAUGCGUAGAUAUCGGGAGGAACAUCAGAGGCGACGGCGACCACCUGGAUCUACACUGACGCUGAGGUGCGAAAGCGUGGGUAGCAAACAGG
Molecule: ribosomal RNA, 253 nt
Filed under: uncultured bacterium
Lineage: Bacteria
Description: partial 16S ribosomal RNA
Rfam family: Bacterial small subunit ribosomal RNA
Source: RNAcentral